AAGGAUCCGUACGUCCUCUCGUCGGUUGCAUGGAUUUCUUAAUUUUCUCACGAAAAAGUGCGUUUAGUGUACACAAUUUAUGCGUAAUCUGUUACUAGUGCCCUGCUUAGCCUCCUGAAAAAGCGCGUUAUAUUAAUACUACAACACCACACACUGCUUCCCCACUCACACGAGCAUUGCUAGCUCUCUGUGUUGGUUAAUAAAAUUUCCUAAUUCAACAUUAGCGAAUUUCGUUAGCUGAUGCGGUUGGUUAACAGUGUUUUUGUCGGUGUGGAUCCUCGGCUUAAGAUGACUCCAGAGCGCGGCGCGGCCUUCCCCAAGAGAGGAGACUUCUUGGGUCACCCCCUAACUCUGAUGUUCGGGCAUCGAUGACCUGUGUAGCAUGCAGAGGUACCCAAGGGAGUCACCACCCUCUGGUUUACGAGCUAGGUGUUCUAAUGCUAGAGGCCUCGGCCGGAUACGACCUGGCACCCAAGCUCCGAGAUUUCUUCGUGCACGUAUUCCGUGACCCUCGAAGAGGCAGGGGGCGGGAUGUCGGACACAUUGAAGAUGAUGAGGGGGGUCCGCCUGUAGGGGGUCCCGGUGGAUGUCCGUCCGACGGGUGACGAGGGUGACCCCAGACGAGGCGGCUUAAUUGGGAUGGGAACUGACUGGUGAGGCUUAAUCGUCGACCAACGGGUCGAAUCUGCAUAAGGAAGGCAACCAGCACACACUCGCAGGCGGGUCGUGCAAACAUUUUUUUGUUUUUUCUCUUGGACUGCCCCACGUCGAAUUUUGAAGGCAGAAAAUGUCGGGAGGAGGCGAGCAUAACCAGGCCUAACUUAAACCUGUUAAAAGACAACCCGGGUUCGCAGCGCGAUUUUAAAAAACAAGAAUGAAGAAGUCAGAAAAUCUGUCUACAUGCUGCAUAUGAUCAGUCCCAAAAAAUUUCGGAUUGUUCCAGGCACCGUCGAAUACCUGGAAAACGUGUUUAUUGUCAACUCUACAGAAUCGACCGACGUUCAUGGAGUUGGGGGCAUUCGAUGUGCCCCAUAGCAGUGAGACGCCACUGUUUUUUUCGCCGUAUAAUUAUUAUGGUGGGACUGAAAAUGAACUUAAGCAAGGUGCGAUGGUUUUUCUCUUACAGGUGAUACGGUAUGGCUUGGAGAACUUCAAAAGUCGGUUCGCGUCGUGGUUCCAAAGCAGUAACUUUAGGUUCCCUACAUUUACAGAAUGUCAUAAGUACUCAUUUUUUAAUUUGCAAUUUUUACAUUCAUUUUUACUUUUUUUCUUACUCUAUACAAGGCUUUAAUAUAAAGUUUUUUUAGUAAUAAUAAAUGGGUAAUAAAAAAAUAACUCUAAAGAGACACAAUUAGGUAGCAUAUUGUUUUUCUAUUAUAUUUGGAAAUAACUGAGGUCUUAUUUUAAAAUUGAUAAUAUUGUUUAAUUUUUUUAA
Molecule: long non-coding RNA, 1435 nt
Organism: Sitophilus oryzae (rice weevil)
Lineage: Eukaryota; Metazoa; Arthropoda; Insecta; Coleoptera; Curculionidae
Exons: 4
Source: RefSeq, a predicted model, not a curated record